This 468-nucleotide ribosomal RNA is filed under the name uncultured bacterium. RNAcentral's name for it is "partial 16S ribosomal RNA". It matches the Rfam family "Bacterial small subunit ribosomal RNA", at positions 28 to 507 of the family's 1533-position model. The record is from RNAcentral.
GACGAACGCUGGCGGCGUGCUUAACACAUGCAAGUCGAACGGAAAGGCCCUGCUUUUGUGGGGUGCUCGAGUGGCGAACGGGUGAGUAACACGUGAGUAACCUGCCCUUGACUUUGGGAUAACUUCAGGAAACUGGGGCUAAUACCGGAUAGGAGCUCCUGCUGCAUGGUGGGGGUUGGAAAGUUUCGGCGGUUGGGGAUGGACUCGCGGCUUAUCAGCUUGUUGGUGGGGUAGUGGCUUACCAAGGCUUUGACGGGUAGCCGGCCUGAGAGGGUGACCGGCCACAUUGGGACUGAGAUACGGCCCAGACUCCUACGGGAGGCAGCAGUGGGGAAUAUUGCACAAUGGGCGGAAGCCUGAUGCAGCAACGCCGCGUGCGGGAUGACGGCCUUCGGGCUGUAAACCGCUUUCGCCUGUGACGAAGCGCGAGUGACGGUAAUGGGUAAAGAAGCACCGGCUAACUACGUG